RNAcentral lists this long non-coding RNA (884 nucleotides) under Eucalyptus grandis. RNAcentral's name for it is "long non-coding RNA (EGRA_LNC001280)". The record is from RNAcentral. Lineage: Eukaryota; Viridiplantae; Streptophyta; Magnoliopsida; Myrtales; Myrtaceae.
UUUCAUAUUUUCCAUGAGGAUGCUCAAUUGGAAGAUCAAUUGCUCCAAAUAAGUCAUAUGUACUCUUCAGGAAAUCCCUUAACUCCAGUUAUCUUAGUCCCUUAACCAUUCUUUUUCAUGGUAAAUAAUUAGCAUGUUCUGAUGCACUGCUAUAUUUUCUUCACAAGAUUUCCUCGCCAUUCUGUAUUCAUUGAUCAGAUUUAUGUGUCAGAUUUGACCAAGGGCAGACUAGCAAUCAAAUUCAUCCAGUCUGGAAAAAUCAUCUUCUGAUUGUAUGUUAUAAUCAUUUAAGCAGUAGAAUUUUUACGCUGUGCGAAGUGGAUUUGUUCCAUUGAUGCUCAUUAUGGAGGUUUGAAAUAGUAAGAUAUAAUAUAUCGUGCUACACACGAUAAAGGAAAUGAUGUCAUUUCGAUAUGGGACAUGAAGCCCAGAGAGAACCAUAUGUGGAGGUGGUUCUGUUGUGAGAUUAGGAGUGAAUUGCCUGUGUAAAUGGACCAUUUGUUUUGGCACAGGAAUGUAGGCAGAGCUGGACGUUGUAAUUGCUUUGCGAGAGUUUUGGUGUGAAGACUGCUCUGGAAAGAUGGAGAUUUCUCACUGGCACAUUACGACAUGAUUCAGCACUAAUUUAUACAGCAGAUAACUAGUUGAUCUCAUGACGUAGCGUUGAUAUGCAGGAGCUGGUAAUGCCUUUCUUAGUGAUAGAUUUUCAGUUUGUUGAAGCAGCUAAUUGUUUUCGUGGAAUGUAAGUUACUGAAGUAUGACAAGAAAGAUAUGCGAGGAUAGGGGUGAUGCUAUGUUAUGGAGCCAUGAGUUCAGUCCAAUGGUUUUGUGUAGAAUCAAGCUGCAUAUUUCACAUAUUCAACUGCUUUCAGGACAGUUAUGAG